UACGUAGGGGGCAAGCGUUGUCCGGAAUCAUUGGGCGUAAAGCGCGUGUAGGCGGCUCGGUAAGUCUGCUGUGAAAGUCCAGGGCUCAACCCUGGGAUGCCGGUGGAUACUGUCGAGCUCGAGUCCGGAAGAGGCGAGUGGAAUUCCUGGUGUAGCGGUGAAAUGCGCAGAUAUCAGGAGGAACGCCAAUGGCGAAGGCAGCUCGCUGGGACGUGACUGACGCUGAGACGCGAAAGCGUGGGGAGCAAACAGG
RNAcentral lists this ribosomal RNA (253 nucleotides) under uncultured bacterium. Its description in RNAcentral is "partial 16S ribosomal RNA". It matches the Rfam family "Bacterial small subunit ribosomal RNA", at positions 524 to 776 of the family's 1533-position model. The record is from RNAcentral.